Molecule: ribosomal RNA, 1269 nt
Filed under: Triticum aestivum (bread wheat)
Lineage: Eukaryota; Viridiplantae; Streptophyta; Magnoliopsida; Poales; Poaceae
Description: partial small subunit ribosomal RNA
Source: RNAcentral
AUGGCCGUGCUCGAUGCCUUUUGGGAGAUUGUGUCAGAGAAUGACAUUCUCCUGCUCUCCAAAGACAAAUUUGUGGAGGGAGUCACCCCCACUGCAUAUGCCUUUGCCAUAGUGGAACAGCGGGGUGGUAAAGGCACAAUCUCUCUUAGAACAUCUGUGGCAGGGGAAAUUAAAAAUCUGAAUGUUGCAAAGCCUGUCAAGUCUUCAAGACUAGAGCGCAUUACUUCCAUUCUCUCAACAUCAGGAAGCUUUCUGUCGAUUUUAAAGAUAUGCAGCUUGUCUACUAUACUGCGAGAGUACUCUGCAAUGCACUCUGUAGCUUCACUUCCUUUCAAGGAUUUGAUCCUUUCAGCAUCUGAGAAGAAUAAAGACGGAGAUGAUCAAAAUCGUGCCUGGAAUGUCCCUGAGCCACUUAGGGAAUACCUGAAAACAAACCUUAAUGAUUCACAGCUAGAUGCAGUUAAUGCAGGCCUUUCGCGCAGAUCCUUUGUCCUUAUUCAGGGCCCUCCAGGAACCGGAAAAACACAAACUAUCCUUGGACUUCUCAGUGCUGUUCUCCAUUCCACUCCAGCAAGAAUGCAGACCAAAGGAGGGUUCAAUGUUCAAAAGCAUGGGCCUGAGCUGGACACUGAGGGCAAGCUUGCAAACUGGAUGAAAGCAUCUUCUUGGCUGCUUGGUGCAAAUCCUCGCGAUUUGAUUAUGCCUGUUGAUGGUGAUGAUGGUUUUUAUCCUACUGGGAAUGAGCUGAAACCUGAAGUCAUAAGUUCCAGUGGCAAGUAUCGGGCCCAUGUGUUGGUUUGCGCUCCAUCCAACUCAGCACUUGAUGAGAUUGUAUUGCGUGUUCUUCAAACAGGAAUACGUGAUGAAAAUAACAACACUUACAAUCCCAAGAUUGUGCGUAUUAGACUAAAGGCGCAUCAUUCUGUCAAAGCAGUUUCCAUGGAUCAUCUUGUAUUUUCUACCCUCAGUUUCAGUGGAUCAGCCAUUCUCACCAGGAUGACUCGUGGUUUUGAUGUUGUUAUAAUUGAUGAAGCCAUGCAAGCUGUAGAACCAACGACUCUUGUACCCCUGGUUCAUGGAUGCAGACAAGUUUUUCUUGUUGGCGACCCAGUUCAGUUGCCAGCAACUGUAAUUUCAUCGACUGCUCAGGAGUUAGGGUAUGGAACAAGUUUGUUCAAGAGAUUUCAAGCUGCUGGUUUUCCUGUGCAAAUGCUCAAAAUUCAGUAUCGUAUGCACCUAGAGAUAGCAUCCCGCUGUCAAUUCAUCUGA